Molecule: ribosomal RNA, 383 nt
Filed under: uncultured eukaryote
Lineage: Eukaryota
Description: partial 18S ribosomal RNA
Rfam family: Eukaryotic small subunit ribosomal RNA
Source: RNAcentral
CAAUAGCGUAUAUUAAAGUUGUUGCAGUUAAAAAGCUCGUAGUUGGAUUUCUGGUGGGAGCGAUCGGUCUGGCGCUUAGCGCGAGUACUUGCAUCGUCUCCGGCCAUCCUUGGGGAGAGUCUGUCUGGCAUUAGGUUGUCGGGCAGAGGAUCCUCAUCGUUUACUGUGAAAAAAUUAGAGUGUUCAAAGCAGGCUUAUGCCGUUGAAUAUAUUAGCAUGGAAUAAUAAGAUAGGACUUUGGUACUAUUUUGUUGGUUUUCGCACCAAAGUAAUGAUUAAUAGGGACAGUUGGGGGUAUUCGUAUUCCGUUGUCAGAGGUGAAAUUCUUGGAUUUACGGAAGACGAACUACUGCGAAAGCAUUUACCAAGGAUGUUUUCAUUAA